UAUAUUUAAGUUGUUGCAGUUAAAAAGCUCGUAGUUGAACCUUGGGAUGGGUCGCCCGGUCCGCCAUCGGUGAGCACCGGUCGGCUUGUCUCUUCUAUCAACGAUAUGCUCCUGGCCUUAACUGGCCGGGUCGUGCCUCCAGCGCUGUUACUUUGAAGAAAUUAGAGUGCUCAAAGCAAGCCUACGCUCUGUAUACAUUAGCAUAGGAUAACAUCAUAGGAUUUCGAUCCUAUUGUGUUGGCCUAUCGGAGUAAUGAUUAAUAGGGACAGUCGGGGCAUUCAUAUUUCAUAGUCAGAGGUGAAAUUCUUGGAUAUGUGAAAGGCGAAAAACUGCAAAAGCAUUUUCCAAGGAUGUUUUCAUUAAUUAAGAACGAAAGUUGGGGGCUCGAAGAUGAUCAGAUACCGUCCUAGUCUCAACCAUAAACCAUACCGACCAGGGAUCAGCGGAUGCUGCUUUUAUGACUCUGCUGGCAGCUUAUGAGAAAUCAAAGUUUUUGGGUUCCGGGGGGAGUAUGGUCGCAAGGCUGAAACUUAAAGGAAUUGACGGAAGGUCACCACCAGGAGUGGACCCUGCGGCUUAAUUUGACUUAACACGGGGAAACUUACCAGGUCCAGACAUAGUAAGGAUUGACAGACUGAGAGCUCUUUCUUGAUUCUAUGGGUGGUGGUGCAUGGCCGUUCUUAGUUGGUGGAGCAUUUUGUCUGGUUAAUUUCAUUAACGAACGAGACCUCAGCCUGCUAACUAGCUACGUGGAGGCAUCCCUUCAUGGUCGGCUUCUUAGAGGGACUAUGGCCGUUUAAGCCAAGGAAGUUUUAGGCAAUAACAGGUUUGUGAUGCCCUUAGAUGUUCUGGGCUGCACGCGAGCUAUACUGAUGUAUUCAACGAGUUCAUACCUUGGCCGACAGGCUCGGGUAAUCUUUGAAAUUUCAUCGUGAUGGGGAUUGAUCAUUGCAAUUGUUGGUCUUCAAUGAGGAAUUCCUAGUAAGCGCGAGUCAUCAACUCGCGUUGACUACGCCCCUGCCCUUUGUACACACCGCCCGUCGCUCCUACCGAUUGAAUGAUCCGCUGAAGUGUUCGGAUCGCGGAGACGUGGGUGGUUUGCCGUUUGCGACGUCGUGAGAAGUCCACUAAACCUUAUCAUUUAGAGGAAGGAGAAGUCGUAACAAGGUUUUCGUAAGUGAACCUGCGGAAGGAUCAUUG
This 1201-nucleotide non-coding RNA is filed under the name Brassica napus (rape). RNAcentral describes it as "Eukaryotic small subunit ribosomal RNA". It matches the Rfam family "Eukaryotic small subunit ribosomal RNA", at positions 600 to 1831 of the family's 1831-position model. The record is from Rfam by way of RNAcentral. Lineage: Eukaryota; Viridiplantae; Streptophyta; Magnoliopsida; Brassicales; Brassicaceae.